AAGGGCGAGUCCCGCUCUCGCGAGAUUUGGCGGGCGGAGGGGAAGGGCCGCGCCCUGGGAGCAUGGCGGGUGAGGGGAGGGCAGGGCCCCGGGGGUCUGCGGCUCCUUCAGCUGCCCUCGGGCUCCCUCAUCGCCCCCCAGCGUGGGGAGCCUCGGGGCGCAGGGUUCUGGCUGGAUAUGGCCGCCGUGGUGGUGCCAGGCGGCCGCUUGUGGCACCCAGCGCCCUCAGGAAGAGCCCGGCGGUGAUGAGGGGUUCAUUACUGUCACCUCGAAGGGAAGGCACCAAAAGCUCUCAAAAGCCCUAAAACUCCAGCUGCACCCUUUGAAAAUGGAAACAACCGCACGGUGCCCCUCCUCUGCCGUGGCCACAUCACGGGGGCGAGGGAGGAGUCACACAAGGCCCUUUGAUGUUAUCAGGGAUGGGUUUCAAACAGCUCCAGUCGUGUGGAACAAAAUCUGGAGCCAUCCUUGCCCAUGGAAAGGCCUCAUUCCUCCAAGAACACGGUGACCCAAAGGUGAGAACCCCCCGUGCUCCACUCUGCCUCAGAAAUGACACCCCAAAAUGACCUCACCAAAAAUAACCUCCAGCCUGCCUUCCUUGUGAUUUUUAACCCAAAAUCUCUGUGUUUGCCUUCUUCCAUGGGCAUGAAGAGCUGCUGUUUUCAGUCUCUUUGUUUGCUGUUACUGAGGAAAUGCUGCUGCUGGUGUUGGGGUUGUUUUUUUCCAGCUCAGAGUGACUUCACAAACUUCCAUUUUGAAAAGGACUUGUAAAAAUGGCACCAAACUUUAUUUUCUUGCUUCUCACUGAGGCUGUACCAGGACUGGCUGCAGUGUUCUGGUAUUCUCUGAAGAGAACGUGUGCCUGUGUUUGGAGGAAAUCCUGGGAACCUUUACAUCUCCAUCUCCUUCACUGUCCCACAGCAAAGGAACAAAAAGAGAGGCAACCCUGCAGGAAGGACAGCUGGAAUACAUGGCUGAGACACAACCUCCCUCUGGAUGGAGCUGGUUUAGGGCCUUCCAGCCCCUUCAGCUUCCUUGGCUAAGCUCCCACAUGGUCAGUUAACAAGGAUGGAGGUGUUUCUCCUCCCUACUCCCUGCAAAGUUGGAAACUUGGGAUUUGUUUUGCAGGCUUGGAGGCAAGAGUGGUGCUUGGUUUAUUUUAUCAUCGCUGGUUGUGAUCUGUGUCCUUGUUCCACUGCAGUGUCAUGAGAUAAUUAAUACUAAAACACCCCUGCUUGUUAGUUUACACAUUUCUGAUGCCUUUAAAAUCAGUAAAAAGGGCUGAUGACAUUGCACAGGGGAAAACAGAAUUUAAUACAUUCUUCUUGCAUCAGGAAUUAUUUGGCAAAGCUGAUGGUGCACAGGGGACCAGACUCCAAGAAGAAAACCAAGCCUUGCUGAAAUCUGAAAGCACAGAUUGCACCCUGGAUGAAUGUGGGCAGGAGCUGGAUGAAUAAAGAGUUUCAGCAGCAAGGUUCUGAUGUGCAUUUGAGCAUUAUAGAAGCUGUGGCUGCCCCAUCCCUGGAAGUGUCCAAGGCCAGGCUGGAGCAACCUGGGAUAGUUGAAGGUGUCCCUGCCCAUGGCAAUGAGAUGAUAUUUGAGAUCCCCUCAAACCAUUCUGUGAUUUCUGCUGGUGAUCUUCUGACUCUGCAUCUUCUCUUGACUCCUCAUGUGGUCCUUCUCACAUUAGUUUUCUUUUUAAUCCAACUGUGCUGUCUUGAACUUCAGCUUUUCAGGGCUAACAUGGGGUUUGCCCUAUGACAGAUCACUUUACAAGUCCAAGUGGACAGGCAUUUAGAAUUAGAGUCCAAACAAAGUCAAACCAGGCUGAAAUAAACUGCAUUUUGGUCUAGCACAAGAUUAGCCCUUAAAUAAAUAGUGAGGAGCUGGGGCAGUCUGUACAGCAGAUGGCAUUACAGGUAAUAUUUAUCACACUCCAGUCUCAGGGCUCAGAUACUUGGGAGGGAGGAUUGACGUCAGCUACCACUGAAUCAGUUUUAAAACAAGCUGGAAACCUGCUUGUGCCUUCAGCAGUUGAUUACUUUGUGCAGCACUUCUGCUUUGCACUCCCCAGUGCAUUUAUUGGUCUGGACAAGCCUAGCAGGAAGAGUUCAUUCUGUUUUUUGCAGCUUAAGUGAGCUGAUGUAAAUAGAUCUUGGACUUUGAGGUGGGAAGAUUCCACCCAGCUGCAGUAACCAGGGGGAUGCCCUUUGGUCCAGUUUUUAUGCCAAAUUUGUGCAUUGGGGAAUUUUAAACAAAUAUCACUUGGCAGGAUAUUGACUCUCAGGGUACAAGAAUAACACUGAGGAAGGCAGCAGGGCAUGGGCUGGGAGGGAUUUACAGGGAGAACUCUCCAGACUGGCCCUGAGCAGUGGAGAAAACCAGUUCUGAAGUAUUUUAUUAAAAAUAGUUG
This is a long non-coding RNA of Onychostruthus taczanowskii (white-rumped snowfinch), 2413 nucleotides long. RefSeq lists it as uncharacterized. The record is from RefSeq and is a predicted model, not a curated record. The transcript is spliced from 3 exons. NCBI's taxonomy places the organism in Eukaryota, Metazoa, Chordata, Aves, Passeriformes, Passeridae.